GACAGAGGAUGCAAGCGUUAUCCGGAAUGAUUGGGCGUAAAGCGUCUGUAGGUGGCUUUUCAAGUCUGCCGUCAAAUCCCAGGGCUUAACCCUGGACAGGCGGUGGAAACUACCAAGCUGGAGUACGGUAGGGGCAGGGGGAAUUUCCGGUGGAGCGGUGAAAUGCGUAGAGAUCGGAAAGAACACCAACGGCGAAAGCACUCUGCUGGGCCGACACUGACACUGAGAGACGAAAGCUAGGGGAGCGAAUGGG
RNAcentral lists this ribosomal RNA (253 nucleotides) under uncultured bacterium. RNAcentral's name for it is "partial 16S ribosomal RNA". It matches the Rfam family "Bacterial small subunit ribosomal RNA", at positions 524 to 776 of the family's 1533-position model. The record is from RNAcentral.